GGGUACUGUAGGUAGGGGUAAGGUAACAACAGGUAGCCUCAAUAUUAACAGAGGGUACUGUAGGUAGGGGUAAGGUAGAGGCAGGUAGUCUCAAUAUUAACAGAAGGUACUGUAGGUAGGGGUAAGGUAACAACAGGUAGUCUCAAUAAUAACAGAGGGUACUGUAGGUAGGGGUAAGGUAGAGGCAGGUAGUCUCAAUAUUAACAGAGGGUACUGUAGGUAGGGGUAAGGUAACAACAGGUAGUCUCAAUAUUAACAGAGGGUACUGUAGGUAGGGGCAAGGUACAACAGGUAGUCUCAAUAUUAACAGAGGGUACUGUAGGUAGGGGUAAGGUAACAACAGGUAGUCUCAAUAUUAACAGAGGGUACUGUAGGUAUGGGUAAGGUAGAGGCAGGUAGCCUCAAUAUUAACAGAGGGUCCUGUAGGUAGGGGUAAGGUAGAGGCAGGUAGCCUUGAGGUUACAGUGCUGGGCCAGAAACCGAAAGGUUGCAGGUUUGAGUACCGGAGCGGACAAGGUGAAAAAUAUGUUGUGCCCUUGAACAAGGCACUUCAUCCUAAUUGCUCCAGGGGCGCUGUACG
RNAcentral lists this long non-coding RNA (580 nucleotides) under Salmo salar (Atlantic salmon). Its description in RNAcentral is "lncRNA (ENSSSAG00000103432.1)". The record is from RNAcentral. Lineage: Eukaryota; Metazoa; Chordata; Actinopteri; Salmoniformes; Salmonidae.